Molecule: non-coding RNA, 51 nt
Organism: Schistosoma mattheei
Lineage: Eukaryota; Metazoa; Platyhelminthes; Trematoda; Strigeidida; Schistosomatidae
Source: Rfam
AUCCAGCUGAUGACCAGUCCCAAAUAGGACGAAACGUGCGUCAAACUGGAU